AGAGUUUGAUCAUGGCUCAGAAUGAACGCUGGCGGCGUGCUUAACACAUGCAAGUCGAGCGAGGCCUGGGGGGCAACUCCCAGAGUCGAGCGGCGGACGGGUGAGUAACACGUGGGUAACCUGCCCGGAAGUGGGGAAUACCUCGGGGAAACUCGAGCUAAUACCGCAUGACAUCUUUGGGACGAAAGUCCCGACGAUCAAAGCGGGGUCGCAAGAUCUCGCGCUACCGGAUGGGCCCGCGCCCGAUUAGCUAGUUGGUGAGGUAACGGCUCACCAAGGCUUCGAUCGGUAACCGGCCUGAGAGGGCGAUCGGUCACACCGGAACUGAGACACGGUCCGGACUCCUACGGGAGGCAGCAGUGGGGAAUCUUGCGCAAUGGGCGAAAGCCUGACGCAGCAACGCCGCGUGGAGGAUGAAGGCCCUUGGGUUGUAAACUCCUGUCGGCUGGGAAGAAAUUGUGUGGUGCUCAUACCAUCGCGCAUUGACUGUACCAGCAAAGGAAGCCCCGGCUAACUCUGUGCCAGCAGCCGCGGUAAUACAGAGGGGGCUAGCGUUAUUCGGAAUUAUUGGGCGUAAAGGGCGCGUAGGCGGCCAUGCGUGUCUUCCGUGAAAUCCCUCGGCUUAACUGAGGACGUGCGGAAGAAACUGCAAGGCUCGAGUCCGGGAGAGGGGGGUGGAAUUCCCAGUGUAGCGGUGAAAUGCGUAGAUAUUGGGAGGAACACCGGUGGCGAAGGCGGCCCCCUGGACCGGUACUGACGCUGAGGCGCGAAAGCGUGGGUAGCAAACGGGAUUAGAUACCCCGGUAGUCCACGCCGUAAACGAUGGGCACUUGGUGUCGCGGGUAUCGACCCCUGCGGUGCCGAAGCUAACGCAUUAAGUGCCCCGCCUGGGGAGUACGGUCGCAAGGCUGAAACUCAAAGGAAUUGACGG
This 931-nucleotide ribosomal RNA is filed under the name uncultured bacterium. RNAcentral's name for it is "bacterial SSU rRNA". It matches the Rfam family "Bacterial small subunit ribosomal RNA", at positions 8 to 916 of the family's 1533-position model. The record is from RNAcentral.